RNAcentral lists this ribosomal RNA (465 nucleotides) under uncultured bacterium. RNAcentral's name for it is "partial 16S ribosomal RNA". It matches the Rfam family "Bacterial small subunit ribosomal RNA", at positions 28 to 507 of the family's 1533-position model. The record is from RNAcentral.
GACGAACGCUGGCGGCGUGCUUAACACAUGCAAGUCGAACGGAAAGGCCCUGCUUGCAGGGUACUCGAGUGGCGAACGGGUGAGUAACACGUGGGUGAUCUGCCCUGCACUUCGGGAUAAGCCUGGGAAACUGGGUCUAAUACCGGAUAGGAGCCAUUUUUAGUGUGAUGGUUGGAAGGUUUUUUGGGUGUGGGUUGAGCUCGCGGCCUAUCGGCUUGUUGGUGGGGUAAUGGCCUACCAAGGCGGCGACGGGUAGCCGGCCUGAGAGGGUGGACGGCCACAUUGGGACUGAGAUACGGCCCAGACUCCUACGGGAGGCAGCAGUGGGGAAUAUUGCACAAUGGGCGCAAGCCUGAUGCAGCGACGCCGCGUGGGGGAUGACGGCCUUCGGGUUGUAAACUCCUUUCGCUAGGGACGAAGCUUUUUGUGACGGUACCUAGAUAAGAAGCACCGGCUAACUACGUG